RNAcentral lists this ribosomal RNA (1116 nucleotides) under Prevotella sp. Its description in RNAcentral is "partial 23S ribosomal RNA". It matches the Rfam family "Bacterial large subunit ribosomal RNA", at positions 1 to 1116 of the family's 2925-position model. Lineage: Bacteria; Pseudomonadati; Bacteroidota; Bacteroidia; Bacteroidales; Prevotellaceae. The record is from RNAcentral.
AAGAAAGUAAUUCAGGGCGCAUGGCGGAUGCCUUGGCUCACGGAGGCGACGAAGGACGUGAUAAGCUGCGAUAAGCCGCGGGUAGGAGCAAAUAUCCCUUGAUCCGCGGAUUUCCGAAUGGGACAACCCGUCUGCCUGAAGGGCAGACAUCCCUGCCUGGUGCAGGGAGGCCAACCGAGGGAACUGAAACAUCUUAGUACCUCGAGGAAAAGAAAACAACAGUGAUUCCCCCAGUAGUGGCGAGCGACCGGGGAGGAGCCCAAACCGGAGUUGUACUUCUGUGCCUCUCCGGGGUUGUAGGACCGCGCUGUGGCACUCUUAUCGCGAAUAGAAUGAUCUGGAAAGUUCAACCAUAGAGGAUGACAGUUCCGUAUAUGAAGCGAGCGGAGGCCUAGCGGUAUCCUGAGUAACGCGGGACACGUGUAAUCCUGCGCGAAUCUGCCGGGCCCAUCCGGCAAGGCUAAAUACUCCCGUGAGACCGAUAGCGUACCAGUACCGUGAGGGAAAGGUGAAAAGAACCCCUUCUAGGGGAGUGAAAUAGUACCUGAAACCAUGCGCCUACAAGCGGUCGGAGCCAAUUUAUUUGGUGACGGCGUGCCUUUUGCAUAAUGAACCUACGAGUUGCCGUCGCCGGCGAGGUUAAGGAUGAUGACAUCCCGAGCCGCAGUGAAAGCGAGCCUGAACAGGGCGUAUAGUCGGCGGAGGCAGACGCGAAACCGAGUGAUCUACACAUGUCCAGGAUGAAGUCCCGGUAACACGGGAUGGAGGUCCGAACGGAUAAGCGUUGAAAAGCUUCCCGAUGAGGUGUGUGUAGGAGUGAAAGGCCAAUCAAACUCGGAGAUAGCUCGUACUCCCCGAAAGGCAUUUAGGUGCCGCGUUGCGUGUUCUGCAUUAGAGGUAGAGCGACCGAUAGGAUGCGAGGGCUUCACCGCCUAUCAAGUCCUGACGAACUCCGAAUGCUAAUGCACAGUAGCGCAGCAGUAAGGGCGCGGGUGCUAAGGUCCGUGCCCGAGAGGAGAAGAAUCCAGACCGCCGUCUAAGGUCCCGGAGUUCUGCCUGAGUUAGUCUAACGAAGUGUGGUCUCGAUGACAGCUAGGAUGUUGGCUUGGAAGCAGC